CUGGAGGUAUCAGAAGUGCGAAUGCUGACAUAAGUAACGAUAAAGCGGGUGAAAAGCCCGCUCGCCGGAAGACCAAGGGUUCCUGUCCAACGUUAAUCGGGGCAGGGUGAGUCGACCCCUAAGGCGAGGCCGAAAGGCGUAGUCGAUGGGAAACAGGUUAAUAUUCCUGUACUUGGUGUUACUGCGAAGGGGGGACGGAGAAGGCUAUGUUGGCCGGGCGACGGUUGUCCCGGUUUAAGCGUGUAGGCUGGUUUUCCAGGCAAAUCCGGAAAAUCAAGGCUGAGGCGUGAUGACGAGGCACUACGGUGCUGAAGCAACAAAUGCCCUGCUUCCAGGAAAAGCCUCUAAGCAUCAGGUAACAUCAAAUCGUACCCCAAACCGACACAGGUGGUCAGGUAGAGAAUACCAAGGCGCUUGAGAGAACUCGGGUGAAGGAACUAGGCAAAAUGGUGCCGUAACUUCGGGAGAAGGCACGCUGAUAUGUAGGUGAAGUCCCUCGCGGAUGGAGCUGAAAUCAGUCGAAGAUACCAGCUGGCUGCAACUGUUUAUUAAAAACACAGCACUGUGCAAACACGAAAGUGGACGU
RNAcentral lists this ribosomal RNA (586 nucleotides) under Escherichia coli. Its description in RNAcentral is "partial 23S ribosomal RNA". It matches the Rfam family "Bacterial large subunit ribosomal RNA", at positions 1273 to 1844 of the family's 2925-position model. The record is from RNAcentral. Lineage: Bacteria; Pseudomonadati; Pseudomonadota; Gammaproteobacteria; Enterobacterales; Enterobacteriaceae.